Molecule: long non-coding RNA, 221 nt
Filed under: Elaeis guineensis (African oil palm)
Lineage: Eukaryota; Viridiplantae; Streptophyta; Magnoliopsida; Arecales; Arecaceae
Description: long non-coding RNA (EGUI_LNC022108)
Source: RNAcentral
CGUGGGACCCAUCUUGGGUGUCCUUUUUGCUAGUGUGAGGCAUCACAUCAGCACCUCUCCUCCCUCGUUUGGUUGGAUUGCAAAGGUGAUUCGAUCAGAGUUCAUCCUACUUUUCUGCGUUGUCUGACGUGUAUGCGAAGUAGAGGGUCUGCACUUUCAGGCUUUCACGAAGAUUUGUUUCAGAUUUUUGAAGAUUUGAUCUCUGGUUCUAUUGCUAAUCA